CAAAGGAAUUGACGGGGGCCCGCACAAGCGGUGGAGUAUGUGGUUUUAAUUCGAUGCAACGCGAAGAACCUUACCUGGUCUUGACAUCCCGGAGACCCUUAGGAAACUAGGGGGUGCUUCCAUCUGGAAGAAUCUGGAGACAGGUGCUGCAUGGCUGUCGUCAGCUCGUGCCGUGAGGUGUCGGGUUAAGUCCCAUAACGAGCGCAACCCCUAUCAUUAGUUGCCAUCAGGUCAAGCUGGGGACUCUAAUGAAACUGCCUACGCAAGUAGUGAGGAAGGUGGGGAUGACGUCAAAUCAUCAUGGCCUUUAUGCCCAGGGCUACACACGUGCUACAAUGGCCGGCACAGACGGCAGCUUAGUGGCGACACUUGGCAAAUCCUCUAAAGCCGGUCCCAGUUCGGAUUGCAGUCUGCAACUCGACUGCAUGAAGCCGGAAUCGCUAGUAAUCGCAGAUCAGCCAAGCUGCGGUGAAUACGUUCCCGGGCCUU
RNAcentral lists this ribosomal RNA (489 nucleotides) under uncultured Sphingobacteriales bacterium. RNAcentral describes it as "bacterial SSU rRNA". It matches the Rfam family "Bacterial small subunit ribosomal RNA", at positions 902 to 1382 of the family's 1533-position model. Lineage: Bacteria; Pseudomonadati; Bacteroidota; Sphingobacteriia; Sphingobacteriales. The record is from RNAcentral.